CCUACGGGAGGCAGCAGUGGGGAAUUUUGGACAAUGGGCGCAAGCCUGAUCCAGCAAUGCCGCGUGCAGGAAGAAGGCCUUCGGGUUGUAAACUGCUUUUGUACGGAACGAAACGGCUCUGGUUAAUACCCGGGGCUAAUGACGGUACCGUAAGAAUAAGCACCGGCUAACUACGUGCCAGCAGCCGCGGUAAU
Molecule: ribosomal RNA, 194 nt
Filed under: uncultured bacterium
Lineage: Bacteria
Also listed under: 1 other name
Description: partial 16S ribosomal RNA
Rfam family: Bacterial small subunit ribosomal RNA
Source: RNAcentral